Molecule: ribosomal RNA, 387 nt
Filed under: uncultured bacterium
Lineage: Bacteria
Description: bacterial SSU rRNA
Rfam family: Bacterial small subunit ribosomal RNA
Source: RNAcentral
ACCGGUCCAGAGAUGGGACCUUCCAUUCGGGGCACAAAGCCAAGGUGCUGCAUGGCUGUCGUCAGCUCGUGCCGUGAGGUGUUGGGUUAAGUCCCGCAACGAGCGCAACCCUUACCUUUAGUUGCCAGCGGAUCAUGCCGGGGACUCUAAAGGGACUGCCUCCGCAAGGAGCGAGGAAGGCGGGGACGACGUCAAGUCAUCAUGGCCCUUACGCUUAGGGCUACACACGUGCUACAAUGGCCGGUACAGAGGGUUGCCACCUGGUGACAGGGAGCCAAUCUCAAAAAGCCGGUCUCAGUUCGGAUCGAAGUCUGCAACUCGACUUCGUGAAGCCGGAAUCGCUAGUAAUCGCGCAUCAGCAACGGCGCGGUGAUACGUUCCCGGGCC